AAUGAACGCUGGCGGCAUGCCUAACACAUGCAAGUCGAACGAGACCUGCGGGCUUAGUGGCGCACGGGUGCGUGAAGCGGGGGAACAUGCCCAGAGGUCCGGAAGAAAGCGGCGAAAGGGGUGCGAAUACCGGCGAAUGUACCCGGAACAAAGGUUGAACGACAUUGGAUGGGCCUUCGAUGGAUUAGCAGGUUGGUAGGGUAAACGCCUAUCACGGCGACGAUGGUUAGCUGGUUUGAGAGGAUGAUCAGCGACACUGGCACGAGGACACGGUCAGGACUCCUACGGGAGGCAGCAGUGGCUGAUAUUGGACUGCGGGCGAUGGGCUGAACGAGCUAUGCCGGUAAAGUGAUGAAGGUCUUAGGGAUGUACAGCUCUUUUACCCGGUAUGGUAAUGACAGUACCGGGAGAAUAAGCUCCGGCUAACUCCGUG
This 433-nucleotide ribosomal RNA is filed under the name uncultured bacterium. RNAcentral's name for it is "partial 16S ribosomal RNA". It matches the Rfam family "Bacterial small subunit ribosomal RNA", at positions 29 to 507 of the family's 1533-position model. The record is from RNAcentral.